RNAcentral lists this ribosomal RNA (348 nucleotides) under uncultured bacterium. Its description in RNAcentral is "partial 16S ribosomal RNA". It matches the Rfam family "Bacterial small subunit ribosomal RNA", at positions 338 to 703 of the family's 1533-position model. The record is from RNAcentral.
CCUACGGGAGGCAGCAGUGGGGAAUAUUGCACAAUGGGGGAAACCCUGAUGCAGCGACGCCGCGUGAGUGAAGAAGUAUUUCGGUACGUAAAGCUCUAUCAGCAGGGAAGAAAAGGACGGUACCUGACUAAGAAGCCCCGGCUAACGACGGGCCAGCAGCCGCGGUAAGACGUAGGGGGCAAGCGUUCUCCGGAUUUACUGGGUGUAAAGGGAGCGUAGACGGCAGCGCCAGGCGGAAGUGAAAUCCCAGGGCUUAACCAUGGAACUGCUUUGGAAACUGUGCAGCUGGAGUGCAGGAGAGGUCAGCGUCAUUCCUCUUGUAGCGGUGCAUUUCGUAGAUAUUAGGAG